This 1091-nucleotide long non-coding RNA is filed under the name Sus scrofa (pig). Its description in RNAcentral is "lncRNA (ENSSSCG00045038237.1)". Lineage: Eukaryota; Metazoa; Chordata; Mammalia; Artiodactyla; Suidae. The record is from RNAcentral.
CCAAGUCCAGGGUUUUAAACCGAAAUACACACUUUAUUCUUUUCAAAACCUCUAGCAAGAUGCUAUUUCGCUGGAUCCAGCAAAAUCUCAUCACUUUCUGAGCACACAGUCCCUGUCACAGAAUUCACCAGAGCAGACAGACAUGCUCCUUGGGCCUCACUGUGCAGAACUUUCCAGCGGUGCUACAAAUAUUUGUGGGUCUGGUUCUCUGCUAGCCGGUAAGUACCUGAAAUGGAGGACCAUGACUUUCUUUCUUAUGUUUUUCUCUUUUUUUGGGUCUUUUUAGAGCCGCACCUGCGGCAUAUGGAGGUUCCCAGGCUAGGGGUCCAAUCAGAGCUGUAGCUGCCAGACUACACCACAGGCACAGCAACGCCAGAUCCUUAACCCAGGGAUUGAACCCCCUAUCCUCAUGAAUACUAGUUGGGUUCAUUACUGCUGACCACAACGGGAACUCCUGUCUGCUUAUUCAAUCAGUCCCUCAAAGUAUUAGAUUAACAUCUCACACUAAGAUUGCAGUUUUUUUCUUUUUUCUUUUUUUUGCCCUGCCAAGUUUUACUUUAUAGGUUUUGAGGCUGUGCUGUUAUGAGUAUACAAAUUUAAAAUUACAACUAGAUCUUCUUGAUGAAUCGAUCUUUUAUGACUAUGACAAAGUCUCUCUUUAUCUCUAGCCAUGCUUUUUGCUUCAAAGUGCACUUUUUCUGAUAUUAGUAUAGCUAUACCAGCCUUCUUUUGGCAAGUAUUUGCCUACAUUUUUUGUCCUUUUAUUUUUAAUAUUUCUAAACUUUAUAAUUAAUUAAAGUGCAUCACUUUGUGGUUGUUUUCACCUAGUCUGAGAACUUUUUGUCAUUUAUUUAUUUUAUUUUUAAGAGCCAUACCCGAGGUUCCCAGGCUAGGGGUCUAAUUGGAGCUGUAGCUGCCAGCCUACACCACAGCCACAUCGAUGCCAGAUCUGAGCUGCGUCUGUGAUCUUACCCCACAGCUCACGGUAAUGCCAGAUCCUUAACUCACUGAGCGAGCCCAGGGAUCGAACCAGCAACCUCAUGGUUCCUAGUUGGUUUCGUUUCCGCUGCACCACGACGGGAGCUCCCGAA